CGGAGGGUGCAAGCAUUGAUCGGAAUUACUGGGCGUAAAGGGCGCGUAGGCGGCUGGAAAAGUCGGAUGUGAAAUUCCGGGGCUCAACCCCGGAGCUGCAUUUGAAACUUUCUAGCUAGAGGUAGGUAAGGGAAAACGGAAUUCCACGUGUAGCGGUGAAAUGCGUAGAGAUGUGGAAGAACACCGGUGGUGAAGACGGUUUUCUGUGCCUGACCUGACGCUGAGGCGCGAAAGCUAGGGGAGCAAACAGGAUUAGAUACCCUGGUAGUCCUAGCUGUAAACGAUGCAUACUGGAUGUAGGAAGGCUCAACCCUUUCUGUAUCGGAGCUAACGCGUUAAGUAUGCCGCCUGGGGAGUACGCUCGCAAGGGUG
This 372-nucleotide ribosomal RNA is filed under the name uncultured organism. RNAcentral's name for it is "bacterial SSU rRNA". It matches the Rfam family "Bacterial small subunit ribosomal RNA", at positions 526 to 896 of the family's 1533-position model. The record is from RNAcentral.